Molecule: ribosomal RNA, 497 nt
Filed under: uncultured bacterium
Lineage: Bacteria
Description: partial 16S ribosomal RNA
Rfam family: Bacterial small subunit ribosomal RNA
Source: RNAcentral
GAUGAACGCUGGCGGCGUGCCUAAUACAUGCAAGUCGAGCGAACGGACGAGAAGCUUGCUUCUCUGAUGUUAGCGGCGGACGGGUGAGUAACACGUGGAUAACCUACCUAUAAGACUGGGAUAACUUCGGGAAACCGGAGCUAAUACCGGAUGAUAUUUUGAACCGCAUGGUUCAAAAGUGAAAGACGGUCUUGCUGUCACUUAUAGAUGGAUCCGCGCUGCAUUAGCUAGUUGGUAAGGUAACGGCUUACCAAGGCAACGAUGCAUAGCCGACCUGAGAGGGUGAUCGGCCACACUGGAACUGAGACGCGGUCCAGACUCCUACGGGAGGCAGCAGUAGGGAAUCUUCCGCAAUGGGCGAAAGCCUGACGGAGCAACGCCGCGUGAGUGAUGAAGGUCUUCGGAUCGUAAAACUCUGUUAUUAGGGAAGAACAUAUGUGUAAGUAACUGUGCACAUCGUGACGGUACCUAAUCAGAAAGCCACGGCUAACUACGUG